GGGGCCGCAGGGCAGGGGGCAGUGGGGCACUCGACUCGUGCGCAGGGGGUUUUUAUCCGCGAGCUUCUCCCCCUGACUCCGGCCGCCCGGCCGCCGCAGGCAUCGUGUCGUGCUGAUACGAACGCCUCCCGACCCCGGCGGAUUCGACUCUGUUCUAGCCUCCGAGGUCUGUGCUACUCGAUCUCCCCCCGAUCCCCAACAAGCUCCAUCAGCCACCGCUUCCGUCAGCGGCGCCCCAGCCGGCCGCCCUGCGCUCCGUCGCCGAUCCGCCGCGCCACGGGCCGAUUCGCGGUCCGUCCGUCCAUCGAGCGCCGCCGGAUAGGCAAUCGCGGCCCUGCGACGCCCUCAUGGACGCCAGAUCGGUCCCGGGGCCUCCACAGCGGCCGACCCCGUCGGCGCCCCUCCCCGCCGGUUGCUCCUGCCUGCCCAAGACCUCGUCGACGAGCCUGACCAAGUCCUUCACGGCGGUGCACGACUUCAGGGUGAGCGACUACUCGCUGUUGGAGGGCAUGGGGUUCGGCAGGUACGUCACCUCCAGCACCUUCUCCGUCGGUGGCCACGACUGGGCCGUCCGGUUCUACCCGGACGGCGCCACGGCGGGCUUGCUCGGCGACGUCUCGGCCUUCCUGUACUACUACAGCCGGGACCUGGACGCGCCGGGCGUCAGGACCCGGUUCACCCUCAAUCUGCUCGAGAGGGACGGGAAGAUGCCCCAGGUCACCAACCCCUACAUGAAGCACACCUUCUCUCCGGUCAGCGACAACUGGGGCUUCACCAAGUUCAUGGAGAAGUCCAGGCUGCAGCAGGGCUCGCCGUACCUCGACAGGGACUGCCUCACGAUCAGGUGCGUGCUGACAGUCGUUAUCGAGUCCCGCACCAUGGCGAACGAGACGAACUCUAUCGCCGUCCCGCCAUCGAGCCUGCACCAGGACUUUGGGGAGAUGCUUAGCGAUGGCGAAGGGGCAGAUGUCACAUUCACUGUGGACGGCCAGUUGUUCCGUGCCCACCGAUGUGUCCUGGCUUUCCGCUCUCCGGUGUUUAGAGCGGAGCUCUUUGGUCCAAUGAAGGAAAAAGCUGAAAAUCGCAUUAGGAUCGAUGACAUGGAGCCAGCAAUCUUCGAGGCUCUGCUUCAGUUCAUCUACACAGAUCGUCUGCCUGAUAGCUGUAGUGAUGGCCGGAAUCCGGCGAUCACACACUUGCUGGUUGCCGCGGACCGGUAUGGAGUGGAGAGGCUAAGGUUGCUAUGUGAAAGUAAGCUCAGCGAAGCCAUUGAUGUGGAAACAGUGGCGACAACGCUAGCUUUAGCAGAGCAGCACAACUGCUCGCAGCUGCGACGAGCCUGCAUUGGGUUCAUGGCCUCGCCGAACAUGCUUGGCCCAAUCAUGGAAACUGAUGGAUUCAAUCAUCUCAUUGCAAGCUGUCCGUUGGUUAUGAAGGAAAUUCUAGACAAGGUGUCCUGCAUCUGGAGUGCUAGAAGGCCAUCGCCGACAUACCCAAGGGCCUGCCCGCCAUCAUCACUACGUGCCUCACGUGGGACCAGGAAGAUGGCUGCUGGUGAUUCUUCAAGGUGGACGGUACAACGUAUGAUCCCUGGGAUGGGAAAUUCACGAUUGCCCUGCUGGGAGCAUUGAUGCCAAUGUCACAUUCUUCGCAUCAGUAUGUUGCCACUGGAAUGGCGACAUAGGCAGCUUUAAAGGUAAAGGCUCUUUUGGCUGAUUCGGAACAAAGUGAACUUUUGAGAAGACUCAGCGAAGCAAAUCAAUAUAACCAAUUCCUCAAGAGACAAGACAGGUUUUGGUUGAGAAAAUGGGUCUACCUGGAGGAAAUAAUGGUCUGUCCUUGGAUCUGUCUGAUACAUUAGGCAACAAAUACAUGCUCUUCGCACCAUGGUAAGUGGUGCUUAAUAAAUACGUACAUCCAAGGAGUCUCACACGAGUGGACUGCAAUGUUGUUUGCGAAAGGCUGCUGCAAAUGGUGGAAGAAUGUUGCCAAAAGGAUUGCUACCCUCGAGUUUGAUCGCACAAGGAAAUCAAUUGGUGUCAUUGUGAAAGCCAGUUCAGGAAGCAAUACCCUACUCGUGAAGAGUGCUUGUAUUCAUGGCAGGGAGCUGUUGAAACUUUACUUGAGCAUCGGAGUGUGUUGUGGGUGCUGCUGUUUGGGGAUCUCUCUUGGCGGCGGCAUGUGCUAUAUGUGCCAUCGCCGGCCUGGAACAUGAGUCCUGCACAGUGGACUGGGCAAGACGAACGAGAUGGGCAAGAGGCAACAAAGGUUUCAUGUGAAUACAUUGGGCUUUGCUUUCAAUAGCUGUAUGCUGACAAGAGGCCUCUUCAGGCGUGGAAUUACAUCUAGCUGCUCGACACGGACAGAUAUGGGUUUCAGGGAGAUGGAACUGAAAGAUAUUUUAUACCUCUUCAGUGAAUGCAAAAAGUAAUUAUCCUGGGAAACUACAUGUGGCAUUUUUACUACUUCGACCUGUACUUCCUCUCUGUUGUAUAUUGUUGAAGAUUUUUACCCUACACAAAGCAAUUAUUGAUUCUUUUCCAUGCACAUAUAUGUACUCUGUCUGAUUGAAACAAAGCAAUUAUUGAUUCUUUUCCAUGCACAUAUAUGUACCUGUACAAAGUAAUUAUUUGUGCUCUGUCUGAUUGAAACAAACCAUGAUACAUACAAGCAACAGAAGUUAUAGAAGACUGUAGCAGGUGAAACUCAUACGGAGAGCAUACCAACUGGUUGUUUAAAAAUAGUGAAUGUUAAUUUACGUCUCGAAGAUAAACAUCUUGUAUAUCCAAAGGGGUGUCAAAUGACAGAAGCUGUAUGUGUUGAUUUCUUUGAGCUGGAAUAGAGGCAUGGAACUACCGACCUGCAUGUAAAAACUUGAUCAUUUUGCAAUACUUUCUCAAUAAUAGUGUAUGCUGUGAGACUUGGAAUCUUA
RNA transcript from Sorghum bicolor (sorghum), 2932 nucleotides. It is a transcript of the gene named BTB/POZ and MATH domain-containing protein 2, with no coding region annotated. The record is from RefSeq and is a predicted model, not a curated record. The transcript is spliced from 7 exons. Lineage: Eukaryota; Viridiplantae; Streptophyta; Magnoliopsida; Poales; Poaceae.